This 253-nucleotide ribosomal RNA is filed under the name uncultured bacterium. RNAcentral describes it as "partial 16S ribosomal RNA". It matches the Rfam family "Bacterial small subunit ribosomal RNA", at positions 524 to 776 of the family's 1533-position model. The record is from RNAcentral.
UACGGAGGGUGCAAGCGUUAAUCGGAAUUACUGGGCGUAAAGCGCACGCAGGUGGCUGAGUCAGUCGAUUGUGAAAGCCCUGGGCUUAACCUGGGAAUUGCAGUCGAUACUACUCAGCUAGAGUAUGGGAGAGGGUAGUGGAAUUCCCGGUGUAGCGGUGAAAUGCGUAGAUAUCGGGAGGAACAUCAGUGGCGAAGGCGGCUACCCGGCCCAAUACUGACACUCAGGUGCGACAGCGUGGGGAGCAAACAGG